AUUUAUUUCUUACCAUCCUGGAAGCUGGGAAGUCCAAAGCUGAGGCACUUGUAUCUGGUGAAGGCCUUCUCAAUGUGCCAUUCCAUGGUUGAAAGGUGUAAUACAGCAAUACAGACAUCAUGAGAGCAAACUCAUGGCCUCAAGCUCCUCCAUAACCAGGUGUUUAAGGAUGUCAUUGGGUAGCAGUAUGCUCCCUAGGACUGAAAGAUGACGAUGUGACUUGCUAGAAGAGGGAAGAGUGAAUGAUUGACAGUGAGCAGAGCGAGGCCAGUGAGACUGGGAGAUUUUCAGUGGAUCACACAUUCUGAAAUCGGCAUGAGCUCCAAUAUAUUUUGAAAAGCAUACACGGGAGGAGAGAUGUUGCUAUGAUCAAAGGGAGGCAAAAGAAUGGUUCGCAAUACUUUGUCCCCUGCAGACUCACUGAGCCUCAUGUAAAUGACUUUCAGGAACAUGGACAAUUGAACACUGAAUCUGCG
Molecule: long non-coding RNA, 476 nt
Organism: Heterocephalus glaber (naked mole-rat)
Lineage: Eukaryota; Metazoa; Chordata; Mammalia; Rodentia; Bathyergidae
Source: Ensembl